AUCCUGGCUCAGGAUGAACGCUGGCGGCGUGCCUAAUACAUGCAAGUCGAACGCACAGCGAAAGGUGCUUGCACCUUUCAAGUGAGUGGCGAACGGGUGAGUAACACGUGGAUAACCUACCUCAAGGUUGGGGAUAACAUUUGGAAACAGAUGCUAAUACCGAAUAAAACUUAGUAUCGCAUGAUACCAGGUUAAAAGGCGCUACGGCGUCACCUAGAGAUGGAUCCGCGGUGCAUUAGUUAGUUGGUGGGUAAAGGCUUACCAAGACAAUGAUGCAUAGCCGAGUUGAGAGACUGAUCGGCCACAUUGGGACUGAGACACGGCCCAAACUCCUACGGGAGGCUGCAGUAGGGAAUCUUCCACAAUGGGCGAAAGCCUGAUGGAGCAACGCCGCGUGUGUGAUGAAGGCUUUCGGGUCGUAAAGCACUGUUGUAUGGGAAGAACAGCUAGAGUAGGGAAUGACUUUAGUUUGACGGUACCAUACCAGAAAGGGACGGCUAAAUACGUG
RNAcentral lists this ribosomal RNA (508 nucleotides) under uncultured bacterium. Its description in RNAcentral is "bacterial SSU rRNA". It matches the Rfam family "Bacterial small subunit ribosomal RNA", at positions 16 to 507 of the family's 1533-position model. The record is from RNAcentral.